Molecule: long non-coding RNA, 6975 nt
Filed under: Marmota monax (woodchuck)
Lineage: Eukaryota; Metazoa; Chordata; Mammalia; Rodentia; Sciuridae
Source: RNAcentral
GGUAUAGGCUUUAUUUAAUGGGUAAAUAAACAUUUUGCAUGAAGCAGGACAUUCUUAACAGCAAUUCUGAAUCCAUCCCAACACUCUACUUUCCUGCCAGUAUAAAUGACCUCAUGUAACAUAAGCAAGUUAAGGCUGCAGGUUUACUCACAUCUAUUCAUUCCUACAGAUGGAACGUCUAUCACAUGUGUGUUUUCUGAUGUUGUGUAAGCCUUGAGCUACGGUUAAAAGCUUUGCCACAGUCGUUGCACUUGUAAGGCUUCUCUCCGGUAUGAAUCCUCUGGUGUAUGAUCAGAUGUGAGCGCCACCUGAAUAUCUUCUCACAGUCACCACACUGGUGCAGUUUCUUUAUGGUGUUAACCUUUUUACGGCUCACGAAGGUGGAACCUUCCAGGGUGUUCCCAUAUUCAUAGUACCAUUGGGCUCUAGUGUGUAUUCUCUGGUGUUCGAUAAGAUAAGAGCUCCGACUGAAGGCCUUUCCACAUUCGCUACACUCGUAGGGCUUCACUCCUGCAUGAAUUAUCUGGUGUUGGAAGAGGGUUGAGUUCUGACUGAAGGCUUUCCCACAUUCAGUGCACUUGUAGGGCCUCUCCCCGGUGUGCACCCUCUGGUGGAUGGUGAGCUGCAUGCUCAUACUGAAGGCCUUCCCACACUGGAGGCACUCAUAGGGCUUCUCUCCCUUGUGGAUCCUCUGAUGGUAGAUGAGGCUGGAGCUCUGGCUGAAUGCUUUCCCACAGUCGUGGCACACGUAGGGCUUCUCUCCAGUGUGGAUCCGCUGAUGCUGGAUGAGGUGUGAGCCCUGAACAAAGCCUUUCCCACACUCGUCACAUUUGAAUGGCUUUUCUCCAGUGUGAGUUCUCUGGUGGCGAAUGAGUCGUGAGCUACACCCGAAGGCUUUUGUGCACUUAUUGCAUUUAUAAGGCUUCUCUCCAGUGUGAAUCAGCUGGUGCUGGCUCAGGCGAGAGAUCCACCGGAAAGCCUUCCCGCACUCGUUGCACUUAAAGGGCUUUUCCACAGUGUGACUUGUCUGAUGCACAACAAGGCUUGGGCUCUCUGAGGCUCUGAGCAUCUGAGAUCUCUCCCCGGCGUGCAUCCUCUGGUGCUGAGCAAGAGUUGAGCUCUGGCUGAAGGCCUUGCCACACUCCUUGCACAAGUAGGGUCUCUCUCCGGUGUGAGUUCUCUGGUGUCUGACUAGUUGAGACUGCUGGCUGAAAGCCUUCCCACACUCCCGGCAGCCAUAGGGCCUCUCUCCUGUGUGGAUCCUCUGAUGAUGGAUGAGGCUGGAGCUCUGACCGAACGCUUUCCCACAUUCCUCACACCUGUAUGGUUUCUCUCCAGUAUGAAUUCUCUGAUGCUGAAUAAGUUUUGAGCUCAGGCGGAAGGCUUUUCCACAUUCCACACACUUGAAUGGUUUCUCCCCAGUGUGGAUUCUCUGGUGUUGAUUAAGCUGUGAACACAGCCUGAAGACUUUUCCACACUCCUCACACUCGUAUGGCUUCUCGCCACAGCAGUUACUUGAAAGUUUCCCCUGAAAGCAGCCAGACAAUUGUUUUUGGCAUUCUUGACAGCAGUUAGGCUUCUCUUGUACACUAAUUUCCUGGUAUGGAGCCAGAUCUGGAGUGUGUCCAAAGUCUCUGCCGCACACCUGGCAUUGCUGUGACAUCCCUUGAGCACCAGCUCUCUGACCUUUACCAGGCUGACAGCUGAGGCCACUGGCCCCCAGCUCCUUGGAUUCCUGUGUAGUGUCCUUGGUGAAGGUUUUGGGAGCCAGGGUCCCCUGAAUCAAACACUGUUUCUGGAGAAGGGAGCCCCUUUCUCUCAGCACAGGGCUGCUUGGAAGUCUCUCUGACCAGACCUCAGAAUUGGAAGUGUCUGCAGAGCCAGGACCCUGAGGCUUCAGAAGGUCCAUGUCCCCCUGCUCAUGUGCAAGCCUAACAGUAGAAUCUGAAAUAAACAGGAAAUGAAAAUACUCUAUAUGUACUGAGCUCACAGAAAGGACAAAGACUGAAGUAGUGGGGAAGGCCAGCCCUUCCUAGGAUGGGCUGCAUGGAGCACUGCUACACACCCCAAGGGGAGAUGUAUGCGAGAAGAUGUACUUGGAGAGGCCUCAUACUUGGCUUCAUUGAUGCUUUUUGGUCCACAGUGGUGAAGUGCUCCUCUCUGCUAGGCAGAAUGCUGGGAGUUGCAUGACCUAAGAGGAGUUUGUGAGAAGAGGUACAUCCCAGGGGCACUGUGAAGAAUGCAAAACGGGACUGGACAAAGCCAGCCUGAAGGUGGAAAGUUUGCCAACAAGGAUUCUCAGACGGAGUCGGAGGCCCCCAGCAUCCCAGCUGGUAAAUGGGAAGGUAGAAAAGGGUCUGACCUAUGAAUAAGGGAAUGGGCAGGAAUGGGAGACUGAGGCUCUAGAGCUGCAGGGGGGUUACCCAGGGAGCUCAGAAGAGGGCAGAGUGCCUGGGCUGCCCAUGGCUACUCUCUGCUCCCUCCAGCUGCCACUUAUUUGCACCUGACACUCCUUGCUAGGCUGGAAGCUGAGUGGUCACACCCAGCAGACCACACUGACUUCCCUUUCCCUGUGACAGGUUUCUGGAGGGUCCAACCCAUCAGUCGCCCAGGAAGCCUUCCUGACAUCUGCUUUCCUCCUGGACUUUCCUUCAGACUCCUGUCCUACUCCAAAAUCCCAGAGAGCACCUCUGUUGAAACCACACUUCUCCAUGAUCAUAAUCACACAGUCACAGUCACAGUUACAAUCAGCCUGGUUCCACCCACGGCAAAUUCACAACCCAGUCAGGGCUUCAGCCUCACAGCUCUGUUCACUCCUAACCAUUAGUGGCUGGGUUUCCAGCUUCCAGUGAUUUCCAUGUCUUCCAGAAAGGGGUCCCACCUACCUAACUCUUCUGCAUGAUGGGAACAGAUCCCAGUGGUUCCUAAUUGGUCUUCCACAACCCAGUGAGGUUGGCAGAAGCCUCACUCACGGGAGGCAGACUGGCUCAGAGCUGAGCAGCUUGCACAAGGCCAUGAUGAUGAGGACAGCAUUUGGAGCCUUGAGGAAGCCUUCUCCCACCCCAGCCUCACAGAAAAGCUGCUCCCUGGGCAGGGCUUGCUCAUCCCUCCUCCAAAGCCUUCCUCUGCCUGGAGGUGAGAAAGCAGGACACUAAGACUCCCAGCAAGUACUGCUCCUGCUCUUCCCCCUGCCAGAAACUCAAGAGGACCAAAAGAGAGUGAGAUGCAUCCCUGGUAAGGUUAAGGCCUGGUGGAAAUGCCCAGGUCUUGGGCUACCCAGAACCAAGCAGCUCACAGUCACUUGCAACCACCAACCAAAGGACCAGGACAUCAUAGACAACCUGGCUAUGCUCAUAUUUUCCACGCUCUGGGUCCCUGUGUAUACAUCCAAAAGAGGCUUGGUGUACAUUUCCCAGUUCUGCCCUGACCCUGCACAACACCAGGCCAUGGUCCCACCUUGUCCUGCUGCCCAGCCUCCUGAAGCCUCCUCUCUCGGCAGCCUCUGACCUCCUUGCCUGGCCCAUUUCUCUCUGACUCUAUUUAACACUGACAGCUCCUGCAUAGUACCCCUGUAACUGAAGCUCAAGGUCCUCUCCCCUUCCCUGGAACAUGAAGGUCCUUCUCCAGCAAACUCUGGGCAAUCCCUGGGAAAAGGCAAGCACUGUGAAAAAGCAAAGCCUCUUUGGAAGAGGGAACACAUGUCCUCCCAGAGCAAAGGCACAGCAGUGCCUGACUUAUGACUCUCGUCACUAUCUGGGAACAAGGAGCUAGGAGUCACACAUUGGGGGGCUCUGGUGGUAGGCAAGGGCAUGGGGAGGGACUGCUGCAGAUCCACCCUCUGUUCCCUCUAGUCCCCUUCAAUAUCUGAUGCCAGCUGUGACCAGUCGGGGACAAAGAACUUGCCUGAGCAUUUCCUUUACUCCAUGCCUCUGGUUGUGUGCUCCUGUAUACCGUACUCUAGGGCCCACAAUCUUGUCCUGAGACCACUAUGGGUUACCCUGUGUUUGCUUCAUCCCCUUAUGGGUACAACUUGCUGCACAUAAACCUAUCAAGCUGUCGUACUCUGCCCACUGCAGCUGGCUUUUCUGCCACAUUGUGCUCUCCACAACCUUCCUCCACCAUGCAGGCACCUUACUCGGAGGCUUGGUUUUAACUGGCCACCCUCCAGCUUUGUCUCCUCCCCGGGGAGGAUCAGAAGGAACCUUUGCAGGAGGGGCAGAGGGGAACAUGGAAAUAGGUUGCUGCACCCAUAGUAAUUUAACAUGAGGAUGUCAGGCGGCCCCUAAUCCAAUAACAAUGGUGUUCUUAUAAGGAACUGGCUACAUAGGACAGACAAACAAUAAGAAGGCUGCCAAGUGAAGGAGGCAGGGUCUGGAAUGGCACAUCUACAAGCCAAGGAACACCAACAACUGCAUGAAGUCCCCAAUCCUGGAAAAGGUAACAAGGGCCAAGCCCUGCAGACUUCUGGGCUCCACAGUGAGACAUUUGUUGUUGAUUUGUGUUACUUUGCUGCAGCAGCUGCAGGAGGCCAGUGCACCAGGGUCUGAUCUGAGGGCUUGGUUCCCCAGGCCCCAAGAAGUUCCAGAGACAGCAGCAGGGGCAAUUUGUUUGAGUAGAGGAAGUGGAAAGCAAAGUUUAAUGCUUCCUCAGAUCCACAGAUUUGUGCCUUUCUCGAUAGGUAUAUUAGUAAAAUUAGAAACUGAACAAAAUGUGUACAAUUUCAAAAAACAAACUUUUUACUGAAUGCACAGGUGUUUUGUGUUCUUGCCAUUACAGGGAAGUCCCAGACCUGUUGUGCUUCCUUCCACCCCUGUCCUUGCCUAUGCCACCCCCAGCAGCCCAGUCAAGCCCUUGGGAUUCACCCCAACCUCCCACUUCUCUAGUUCCCACUUUUGGGAAGGCUACUCCUUCCCAAAGGCUCUCUGCUACAGGACCUAUACCUCACCUGUCUGGGAGGUCCACGGUGCUUCUGUCCCCUCAACUCCCUGCAGGUCGAUAACCCAUGGCUCUUGUCCCUGUUCCAACCGAGAGAUCAGCUCAGGUUUGAAGACCAGGAAUCCUGCUGUGUGUGGUCAGAGAAGGAGAUGCUAGGAGCAUGGCUAGUGCUUGACAUCCCCCCAAAAUAAAAAGGGCGAGUUGCCCUCCAGAUAUUAGCACAUACUAGCCAGAAGCGAUGAUGCACCUUCAGCCCCAGUCACUUGGGAGGCUGAAGUGUUCCAAAAACCAAAGCAACGAAACAGAAACAAACCAAGCAGGAAGCUGGCCCACAGACUCUCAGAAAAGAAUAGCGCAGAAAUACACUACUUCAUAUUUUAAGACCAUCAACAGGAAAAGGAGGUUGUCAGCAAAUCAUGUUGGGGAAAUGUUUCAAUGCUCAGACAAAAAUAAAACAGGAUUUUUCCUUAACUCCAACACAAUGGUGAAGCCUUGAUAUUAAUAAGGAAGAUAAGCUAUAAAAUUCACAGGAGAAAAUGUAGGCCAUUUCAAAAAGUUUGAAGUAGGGAAUAACUAAUAAAACCUCAAAGGCAUAAGCUAUAAGACAAAACCCAAAGUACAUUAUGUGAAAAUGUGACAAGGCUGGGAAUGCAGCUCAGUGGCAGAAUGCUCACCUAGCAGGCAUGAAGCCCUGGCAGGCUCAAUCCCCAGUACUGAAAAAAACAAAAAACAAAAAACUAACCAGCGUUACCAAACAUGAGAGAAGGGUAAAGGUACAAUGUGAAUCGGUGUGGUGUUCACCCUUGAUAUACUGUAAGAUAGACUUUGUAUAAAAUGCUUUCACACCUCUAAACCUCAGGGACAUCUUAGAAUUGAAAUCAGAAGUCUUCCAGCAACUGGUAAUAGAUGUGACAUGCCACUGCUGCCCACACAAGCUGCAUUAUCUGCUCUGUACACUGUCUUCAAAAAAUUUAUUCUGGCCAGUCAUAGUGGCACAUGGCUGCAAUCCCAUCGACUCAGGAGGCUGAGGCAGACAGAUCACAAGUUUGAGGCCAACCUCAGAAACUUAGGUGAAGCCCUCAGCAACUUAGUGAGAUUCUGUCUCAAAAAAUAAAAAGGGCUGGGGAUAUAGCUCAGCUGUAAAGUGCCAUGCAUUCAAUCUCCAGUACCAAAAAAGAAAAACAAACAUUAAUUUAGUAGCUUAAGAAAAAAGAGGCUUUAUUAACUCUCAGAAUUUCACCUACCCAGUGAGGGCCGAGUCACCUGAUAUGUGCAAAGUCUGGAACCAGCCUAGCACAGGUUUGAGGCCCCUAUUUGGCCCAAGACAGUCUGAGCACUCAGCCUCCCCCACAUCUGAUGCAGGCCUGGCUGGCUGUGUGGGUGCUGACUGACUGUGCAAGGGAGGGGGACCAAGGUGCCACCUCACCUAGUCCGGCCACGCUGCUGUGGUUCUCCAGCAUCACCUCCCUGUAGAGGGCCUUCUGGCCAGAGUCCAAACACUGCCACUCCUCCCGGGAGAAGUGCACAGCCACGUCACCAAAUGUCACCGCCUCCUGAAAGGACAAAUACCAGCACCCCAGGGAUCCCUGGGUGCCAGCCCCAUUCUUGCACGGCAUCACAGCAUAUCUCAGGCAGGUGUACCAAGGGGUUGGGCAAGAGUUGCCCAGCUCCUUCCUCCAAAAUCCGAGGAAAGGGAAGUUUAAGAGGAGAGGAGGGACCUGGCUCUUGGUAACCAUAUGACCCUCCCUCUCACAAGCCUCAGAUAGGCCGAUCUGGCAGAGGUUUGCUCACUGCCUUUGGGGUGCCAAGGGGGGUGCCUGAGUCUGGCAAGAGCCAGUGAGGGCUGAGGGUGGGUCUGGGUCUGCAUCCAGGCCCAGGAAGCAGGGUAGAUGCCCAAAGUAGGAGGUAGAGGCUUCCCAGAGCAAGUGUGGGAAUGGAGGCAGCCAAGCUUCCUACCAUGAGGCUUGAUGGAUGGUGUCCACUGGUCUUGGCUGGGACACCUGCAGGGAAUUAUGAAAGGGUUAGAGGUCAGGGUGGUAG